CCUACGGGAGACAGCAGUGAGGAAUAUUGGUCAAUGGCCGCAGGGCUGAACCAGCCAAGUCGCGUGAGGGAUGACGGUCCUAUGGAUUGUAAACCUCUUUUGUCAGGGAGCAAAGGGCGCCACGUGUGGCGCUUUGCGAGUACCUGAAGAAAAAGCAUCGGCUAACUCCGUGCCAGCAGCCGCGGUAAUACGGAGGAUGCGAGCGGUAUCCGGAUUUAUUGGGUUUAAAGGGUGCGCAGGCGGAAUGUCAAGUCAGCGGUAAAAUUUCGGGGCUCAACCCCGUCGUGCCGUUGAAACUGGCGUUCUUGAGUGAGCGAGAAGUAUGCGGAAUGCGUGGUGUAGCGGUGAAAUGCAUAGAUAUCACGCAGAACUCCGAUUGCGAAGGCAGCAUACCGGCGCUCAACUGACGCUCAUGCACGAAAGCGUGGGUAUCGAACAGGAUUAGAUACCCCAGUAGUC
This 459-nucleotide ribosomal RNA is filed under the name uncultured bacterium. RNAcentral describes it as "partial 16S ribosomal RNA". It matches the Rfam family "Bacterial small subunit ribosomal RNA", at positions 338 to 795 of the family's 1533-position model. The record is from RNAcentral.